Molecule: ribosomal RNA, 449 nt
Filed under: uncultured bacterium
Lineage: Bacteria
Description: bacterial SSU rRNA
Rfam family: Bacterial small subunit ribosomal RNA
Source: RNAcentral
GCCAGACUCCUACGGGAGGCAGCAGUGGGGAAUAUUGGGCAAUGGGCGCAAGCCUGACCCAGCAACGCCGCGUGAAGGAAGAAGGCUUUCGGGUUGUAAACUUCUUUUGUCAGGGACGAAGCAAGUGACGGUACCUGACGAAUAAGCCACGGCUAACUACGUGCCAGCAGCCGCGGUAAUACGUAGGUGGCAAGCGUUGUCCGGAUUUACUGGGUGUAAAGGGCGUGCAGCCGGAGAGACAAGUCAGAUGUGAAAUCCACGGGCUCAACCCGUGAACUGCAUUUGAAACUGUUUCCCUUGAGUGUCGGAGAGGUAAUCGGAAUUCCUUGUGUAGCGGUGAAAUGCGUAGAUAUUAGGAGGAACACCAGUGGCGAAGGCGACUUUCUGGACUGUACCUGACGCUGAGGCGCGAAAGCGUGGGUAGCGAACGGGAUUAGAUACCCCUGUAC